RNAcentral lists this ribosomal RNA (891 nucleotides) under Penicillium chrysogenum. RNAcentral describes it as "SSU rRNA". It matches the Rfam family "Eukaryotic small subunit ribosomal RNA", at positions 214 to 1121 of the family's 1831-position model. The record is from RNAcentral. Lineage: Eukaryota; Fungi; Ascomycota; Eurotiomycetes; Eurotiales; Aspergillaceae.
AAAUAAAAAACCAACGCCCUUCGGGGCUCCUUGGUGAAUCAUAAUAACUUAWMGAAUCGCAKGGCCUUGCGCCGGCGAUGGUUCAUUMAAAUUUCUGCCCUAUCAACUUUCGAUGGUAGGAUAGUGGCCUACCAUGGUGGCAACGGGUAACGGGGAAUUAGGGUUCGAUUCCGGAGAGGGAGCCUGAGAAACGGCUACCACAUCCAAGGAAGGCAGCAGGCGCGCAAAUUACCCAAUCCCGAUACGGGGAGGUAGUGACAAUAAAUACUGAUACGGGGCUCUUUUGGGUCUCGUAAUUGGAAUGAGAACAAUUUAAAUCCCUUAACGAGGAACAAUUGGAGGGCAAGUCUGGUGCCAGCAGCCGCGGUAAUUCCAGCUCCAAUAGCGUAUAUUAAAGUUGUUGCAGUUAAAAAGCUCGUAGUUGAACCUUGGGUCUGGCUGGCCGGUCCGCCUCACCGCGAGUACUGGUCCGGCUGGACCUUUCCUUCUGGGGAACCUCAUGGCCUUCACUGGCUGUGGGGGGAACCAGGACUUUUACUGUGAAAAAAUUAGAGUGUUCAAAGCAGGCCUUUGCUCGAAUACAUUAGCAUGGAAUAAUAGAAUAGGACGUGUGGUUCUAUUUUGUUGGUUUCUAGGACCGCCGUAAUGAUUAAUAGGGAUAGUCGGGGGCGUCAGUAUUCAGCUGUCAGAGGUGAAAUUCUUGGAUUUGCUGAAGACUAACUACUGCGAAAGCAUUCGCCAAGGAUGUUUUCAUUAAUCAGGGAACGAAAGUUAGGGGAUCGAAGACGAUCAGAUACCGUCGUAGUCUUAACCAUAAACUAUGCCGACUAGGGAUCGGACGGGAUUCUAUAAUGACCCGUUCGGCACCUUACGAGAAAUCAAAGUUUUUGG